GGAGGAGUGGCAGAGUGGUUGAAUGCGGCGGUCUUGAAAACCGUUGAGCCUUUACGGGUUCCGGGGGUUCGAAUCCCUCCUCCUCCGCCA
RNAcentral lists this transfer RNA (90 nucleotides) under Hyphomonas sp. Its description in RNAcentral is "tRNA-Ser". It matches the Rfam family "tRNA". From Rfam's summary of the family: Transfer RNA (tRNA) molecules are approximately 80 nucleotides in length. Their secondary structure includes four short double-helical elements and three loops (D, anti-codon, and T loops). Lineage: Bacteria; Pseudomonadati; Pseudomonadota; Alphaproteobacteria; Hyphomonadales; Hyphomonadaceae. RNAcentral also lists the same sequence under 5 other names. The record is from RNAcentral.